GGGACUCGAUCCCAGGACCCUGAGAUCAUGACCUGAGCCGAAGGCAGCGGCCUAACCCACUGAGCCACCCAGGCGCCCCGAAGUCAGAAUUUUUAAAGGAUAAUAAUACUCAUUAACUGAGCUCAGAGUCACAUGUUUACUGCAUUUUGUUUAGCACCACUCAGAGCUGUAAUUAACAUCCCUAGUGCUAUGGACAGGAUGAAAACAAAUGCUCAACUUCAGUCUUAAAGAAAACAAACUUCCCUCACUUGUAGCUACUUUUUUCCUUAACUGGUGGCAGCCUAACCAGAGGACUGGAAAUAAUAAUGAGGCUCCAGGGUCAAGGCCAUUUGUCUAUUGCAGAUAACAUUGUACCUUGGCCUGAGGUGUGGAGGCAGUGCACUGCUUAUGUAAGAAACAUCCUUUCAUCUUCACCACCACCACGCACACUCUGCUCCUCUAGGAUCUUUUGCUUAAAACACGAAAGAUUAUUGUGUCAACCACCAUGUUUUAGUUUCCCCCAUUAGAUCCUCCCCCACUCCACCCGCAGCUGGGGAAGAGGUGUAGUCUACCACUGAUUAGAGAUAAUCUUGCUAUUCCGCAAGGGGAAUCCACCCCACCCCCACAAGUGCUGACCAACCUCUCAGAUUGUUUUUUCAUCUUCUACCAUGAGAAGAGUUGAGAUUAGACAUUAGAUGAUUUCCUGGGUCUUUAACAUCCACAACUAUUCUAGUGCAGGCAAGUCUCAGAAGAAUAGGAAGCAAUCCCUCUCCUCAAGCCGUUUGUCCUCAAAGCAGGUAAAUAUUAUAGCAGGGCUUGUUAAAUUUCUUAUUUUCCUAGUGACUUACAAUAAAACAUUGAGAAUUGUG
Mustela lutreola (European mink) is the source of this 848-nucleotide long non-coding RNA. RefSeq lists it as uncharacterized. The transcript is spliced from 2 exons. The record is from RefSeq and is a predicted model, not a curated record. Lineage: Eukaryota; Metazoa; Chordata; Mammalia; Carnivora; Mustelidae.